Molecule: ribosomal RNA, 253 nt
Filed under: uncultured bacterium
Lineage: Bacteria
Description: partial 16S ribosomal RNA
Rfam family: Bacterial small subunit ribosomal RNA
Source: RNAcentral
UCCGUAGGGUGCAAGCGUUGUCCGGAAUUAUUGGGCGUAAAGAGCUCGUAGGCGGUCUGUUGCGUCGGCUGUGAAAACCCGGGGCUCAACUCCGGGCCUGCAGCCGAUACGGGCAGACUAGAGUUCGGCAGGGGAGACUGGAAUUCCUGGUGUAGCGGUGAAAUGCGCAGAUAUCAGGAGGAACACCGGUGGCGAAGGCAGCUCGCUGGGACGUUACUGACGCUGAGACGCGAAAGCGUGGGGAGCAAACAGG